UUUAGCUGGUUUCUAGUGGCGGACGGGUGAGUAACGCGUGGGUAACCUGCCUUAUACAGGGGGAUAACAACCAGAAAUGGUUGCUAAUACCGCAUAAGCGCACAGGACCGCAUGGUCCGGUGUGAAAAACUCCGGUGGUAUAAGAUGGACCCGCGUUGGAUUAGCUAGUUGGCGGGGUAACGGCCUACCAAGGCGACGAUCCAUAGCCGGCCUGAGAGGGUGAACGGCCACAUUGGGACUGAGACACGGCCCAGACUCCUACGGGAGGCAGCAUG
RNAcentral lists this ribosomal RNA (275 nucleotides) under uncultured bacterium. RNAcentral's name for it is "partial 16S ribosomal RNA". It matches the Rfam family "Bacterial small subunit ribosomal RNA", at positions 79 to 353 of the family's 1533-position model. The record is from RNAcentral.